Triticum aestivum (bread wheat) is the source of this 136-nucleotide non-coding RNA. The record is from Rfam. Lineage: Eukaryota; Viridiplantae; Streptophyta; Magnoliopsida; Poales; Poaceae.
GUAGUACUCCCUCCGUCUGGAAAUACUUGUCAUCAAAAUGAAUAAAAGGGGAUGUAUAUAGAUGUAUUUUAAUUCUAGAUACAUCCCUUUUUGUCCAUUUUGAUGACGAGUAUUUUUCGGACGGAGGGAGUACUUA